This 465-nucleotide ribosomal RNA is filed under the name uncultured delta proteobacterium. RNAcentral's name for it is "bacterial SSU rRNA". It matches the Rfam family "Bacterial small subunit ribosomal RNA", at positions 338 to 795 of the family's 1533-position model. The record is from RNAcentral. Lineage: Bacteria; Deltaproteobacteria. RNAcentral also lists the same sequence under 1 other name.
CCUACGGGGGGCUGCAGUGGGGAAUAUUGCGCAAUGGGCGAAAGCCUGACGCAGCGACGCCGCGUGAGGGAUGAAGGCCUUCGGGUCGUAAACCUCUGUCAGGAGGGAAGAACCGCUCAGGUGCUAAUCAGCCUGGGUCUGACGGUACCUCCAAAGGAAGCACCGGCUAACUCCGUGCCAGCAGCCGCGGUAAUACGGAGGGUGCGAGCGUUAAUCGGAAUCACUGGGCGUAAAGCGCACGUAGGCUGUUUGGUAAGUCAGGUGUGAAAUCCCGCGGCUCAACCGCGGACUUGCCCUUGAUACUGCUGGACUCGAGUCCGGGAGAGGGUGGCGGAAUUCCAGGUAUAGGAGUGAAAUCCGUAGAUAUCUGGAGGAACAUCAGUGGCGAAGGCGGCCACCUGGACCGGUACUGACGCUGAGGUGCGAAAGCGUGGGGAGCAAACAGGAUUAGAUACCCGAGUAGUC